Molecule: RNA transcript, 1274 nt
Organism: Thunnus maccoyii (southern bluefin tuna)
Lineage: Eukaryota; Metazoa; Chordata; Actinopteri; Scombriformes; Scombridae
Exons: 2
Source: RefSeq, a predicted model, not a curated record
AAAAUGUGUGGUGGUUGACGGAGGCAGCUAGCUGUCUCAUCAGCUGGAGAGCUAAUACCUGCAGGGUGUUUCUACUCAGAUAGCACUGGUUUUGUUGCAAUAGAUGCCGGUUGUUUCUUGAUGUUAGUGGGAGAGAGGUAAGGCACUUUGGAGCGCGCGAAAACGCCACAUCCAUUGGAUUUUCGUGGAAAAUCUGGCCCAGGUCCUUCACAUUGAAAUCAGUCCACAGGCUGACCUUCAGACCUUUUCAUCACUGCAGAGGAGUGCCGAAAUCGCUACCUUUUCCCCAGAGAGAAAUCAAAGAUGGUGGAUGGAGUCGAGAUCUCUGUGCAUAUCAUUGGAGACGCUGCCCGCCCAUUGAAGCAACGGUUGAUGAAAGGAUUCCCCCAGCAUCAACUUUCGCAAGAACAAACCCACUUCACCCACGCCCUAAGCUCAGCCAGGGUGGCCAUUGAGAAUUCCUUUGGGCGACUGAAAGGACGUUGGAGAUGCUUAAUGAAGAGGAAUGGCACUGACCUUAAUCUAAUGCCCAAUUUUGUCACUGCCUGUUGCAUUUUGCAUAAUGUACAUGAAAUACAGAAAGAUAGCUUUUUGCCAGAGUGGAACAUUGAGGUGGAUCAACCAGAGGGUCUGGGUCAACCACAUGCUGUGGUGUAUAAGGAAGAGAGACCUAACACUGCCCAGCUCUGUGCAACACUAUCAUAGACAAUCUAACAGCAGUGUUAUCAGAGUGAACAGUGUCGAUGCUGUAUCAGGAUGCCUUUUGAGUCAUAAUUAUUAGUUAUGCUGUGUUUCUGUAGCAAAUGUGAUCAACUUUGUCUUGUGUUUUGUAAAGCAUUUAUUUAUAGAAAAAGGCAAAUACCUAUAAAAUACCUAUCAAAUAAGUUUUCCCUUAUAACAAAGGUCUCAGCCAGUAUUCAAGUGUCCAAAUAUAGAACAAUUAUAAAACAACAGAAGAGUGACGAAGUAUUCCAGUGCUCAAGAUAUACAACAAAAAACUGAAGUACUGAAAUAUAUGAAAUGUAUAUAAAAUACAAAAUAUGAAUUAUCAGUUCAACACAAAGUAGAACAGUGUGCAAGUAGAAAAAAUGUAAUACUAAAGUACUAUUCAAGUAUUAUAUUGCAACACAAACUGACAUUUGACACAAAUCCUGUCAGUGUGAAAAGACUUUUAUACAGUUAUACUAUAACUGCCUGUAGGUAGUGUGCUCAUCAUGUUUCGUUUGAGUGCUUGAAUAAGCUGAUUGAGACUGAUAAAGUUUUGUUCAUACUGG